RNAcentral lists this ribosomal RNA (254 nucleotides) under uncultured bacterium. RNAcentral's name for it is "partial 16S ribosomal RNA". It matches the Rfam family "Bacterial small subunit ribosomal RNA", at positions 524 to 776 of the family's 1533-position model. The record is from RNAcentral.
UACGAAGGGGGCUAGCGUUGCUCGGAAUCACUGGGCGUAAAGCGCACGUAGGCGGCUUUCUAAGUCAGGGGUGAAAUCCUGGAGCUCAACUCCAGAACUGCCUUUGAUACUGGAAAGCUUGAGUUCGGGAGAGGUGAGUGGAACUGCGAGUGUAGAGGUGAAAUUCGUAGAUAUCCGGAGGAACACCGGUGGCGAAGGCGGCUUCCUGGACCGAUUACUGACGCUGAGGCGCGAAAGCUAGGGGAGCAAACGGG